RNAcentral lists this long non-coding RNA (209 nucleotides) under Lathyrus oleraceus (garden pea). Its description in RNAcentral is "Pisum sativum (pea) long non-coding RNA (PSAT_LNC029906)". The record is from RNAcentral. Lineage: Eukaryota; Viridiplantae; Streptophyta; Magnoliopsida; Fabales; Fabaceae.
UCUUGAUAUUUUGAGUUGACUUGAUUGUUUGGUUGAUGUGUUCUUCCUCAUCUCAAAUCAUUGAUAGAUGGACUUGAGGUUGAUCAACCUUCUUUGAUCCAAAAUUGUUGAUAGAUGAUUGUGAAUCAUCUUCAUUACUUUGCAUCAAUGAUAGGUUAACCCUCGAUGCACCAUAUUUUGAGUCCUUUGAUUUGAGAAUAGAAUCAUCC